This 253-nucleotide ribosomal RNA is filed under the name uncultured bacterium. Its description in RNAcentral is "partial 16S ribosomal RNA". It matches the Rfam family "Bacterial small subunit ribosomal RNA", at positions 524 to 776 of the family's 1533-position model. The record is from RNAcentral.
GACAGAGGGGGCAAGCGUUGCUCGGAAUUACUGGGCGUAAAGGGCGCGUAGGCGGGAUGGCAAGUCGGUCGUGAAAUCCCUCGGCUCAACCGAGGAACGUCGAUCGAUACUGCUGUUCUUGAGGAUUGCAGAGGAGACUGGAAUUCCCGGUGUAGCGGUGAAAUGUGUAGAGAUCGGGAGGAACACCGGUGGCGAAAGCGGGUCUCUGGGCAAUUCCUGACGCUGAGGCGCGAAAGCGUGGGGAGCAAACGGG